Molecule: ribosomal RNA, 1359 nt
Filed under: uncultured bacterium
Lineage: Bacteria
Description: bacterial SSU rRNA
Rfam family: Bacterial small subunit ribosomal RNA
Source: RNAcentral
GAUGAACGCUAGCUACAGGCUUAACACAUGCAAGUCGAGGGGCAGCAUUUCAGUUUGCUUGCAAACUGGAGAUGGCGACCGGCGCACGGGUGAGUAACACGUAUCCAACCUGCCGAUAACUCGGGGAUAGCCUUUCGAAAGAAAGAUUAAUACCCGAUGGCAUAAUUAGACCGCAUGGUCUUAUUAUUAAAGAAUUUCGGUUAUCGAUGGGGAUGCGUUCCAUUAGGCAGUUGGUGAGGUAACGGCUCACCAAACCUUCGAUGGAUAGGGGUUCUGAGAGGAAGGUCCCCCACAUUGGAACUGAGACACGGUCCAAACUCCUACGGGAGGCAGCAGUGAGGAAUAUUGGUCAAUGGGCGCAGGCCUGAACCAGCCAAGUAGCGUGAAGGAUGACUGCCCUAUGGGUUGUAAACUUCUUUUAUAUGGGAAUAAAGUUUUCCACGUGUGGAAUUUUGUAUGUACCAUAUGAAUAAGGAUCGGCUAACUCCGUGCCAGCAGCCGCGGUAAUACGGAGGAUCCGAGCGUUAUCCGGAUUUAUUGGGUUUAAAGGGAGCGUAGGUGGACAGUUAAGUCAGUUGUGAAAGUUUGCGGCUCAACCGUAAAAUUGCAGUUGAUACUGGCUGUCUUGAGUACAGUAGAGGUGGGCGGAAUUCGUGGUGUAGCGGUGAAAUGCUUAGAUAUCACGAAGAACUCCGUUUGCGAAGGCAGCUCACUGGACUGCAACUGACACUGAUGCUCGAAAGUGUGGGUAUCAAACAGGAUUAGAUACCCUGGUAGUCCACACAGUAAACGAUGAAUACUCGCUGUUUGCGAUAUACAGUAAGCGGCCAAGCGAAAGCAUUAAGUAUUCCACCUGGGGAGUACGCCGGCAACGGUGAAACUCAAAGGAAUUGACGGGGGCCCGCACAAGCGGAGGAACAUGUGGUUUAAUUCGAUGAUACGCGAGGAACCUUACCCGGGCUUAAAUUGCAUUUGAAUAUAUUGGAAACAGUAUAGCCGUAAGGCAAAUGUGAAGGUGCUGCAUGGUUGUCGUCAGCUCGUGCCGUGAGGUGUCGGCUUAAGUGCCAUAACGAGCGCAACCCUUAUCUUUAGUUACUAACAGGUCAUGCUGAGGACUCUAGAGAGACUGCCGUCGUAAGAUGUGAGGAAGGUGGGGAUGACGUCAAAUCAGCACGGCCCUUACGUCCGGGGCUACACACGUGUUACAAUGGGGGGUACAGAAGGCAGCUACCUGGUGACAGGAUGCUAAUCCCAAAAGCCUCUCUCAGUUCGGAUCGAAGUCUGCAACCCGACUUCGUGAAGCUGGAUUCGCUAGUAAUCGCGCAUCAGCCAUGGCGCGGUGAAUACGUUCCCGGGCCU